UGGAGUGUGACUAUGGUGUUUG
RNAcentral lists this microRNA (22 nucleotides) under Petromyzon marinus (sea lamprey). Its description in RNAcentral is "Pma-Mir-122_5p (mature (guide))". Lineage: Eukaryota; Metazoa; Chordata; Hyperoartia; Petromyzontiformes; Petromyzontidae. The record is from RNAcentral.